CCUACGGGGGGCAGCAGUGGGGAAUAUUGCGCAAUGGGCGAAAGCCUGACGCAGCGACGCCGCGUGAGGGAUGAAGGUCUUCGGAUCGUAAACCUCUGUCAGCAGGGAAGAACGGUCACUGUGCUAAUCAGCAGUGAAUUGACGGUACCUGCAAAGGAAGCACCGGCUAACUCCGUGCCAGCAGCCGCGGUAAUACGGAGGGUGCGAGCGUUAAUCGGAAUUACUGGGCGUAAAGCGCUCGUAGGCGGUAUGUCAAGUCAAGGGUGAAAUCCCCGCGCCGAACGUGGGAACUGCCUUUGAAACUGGCAAACUGGAGUGUGUGAGAGGAUAGUGGAAUUCCAGGUGUAGGAGUGAAAUGCGUAGAUAUCUGGCGGAACAGCAGUGGCGAAGGCGACUAUCUGGCACAUAACUGACGCUGAGGAGCGAAAGCGUGGGUAGCAAACAGGAUUAGAUACCCCUGUAGUC
This 465-nucleotide ribosomal RNA is filed under the name uncultured bacterium. RNAcentral describes it as "partial 16S ribosomal RNA". It matches the Rfam family "Bacterial small subunit ribosomal RNA", at positions 338 to 795 of the family's 1533-position model. The record is from RNAcentral.